This 468-nucleotide ribosomal RNA is filed under the name uncultured bacterium. RNAcentral describes it as "partial 16S ribosomal RNA". It matches the Rfam family "Bacterial small subunit ribosomal RNA", at positions 28 to 507 of the family's 1533-position model. The record is from RNAcentral.
GACGAACGCUGGCGGCGAGCUUAACACAUGCAAGUCGAACGGAAAGGCCCUGCUUUUGUGGGGUGCUCGAGUGGCGAACGGGUGAGUAGCACGUGAGUAACCUGCCCUUGACUUUGGGAUAACUUCAGGAAACUGGGGCUAAUACCGGAUAGGAGCUCCUGCUGCAUGGUGGGGGUUGGAAAGUUUCGGCGGUUGGGGAUGGACUCGCGGCUUAUCAGCUUGUUGGUGGGGUAGUGGCUUACCAAGGCUUUGACGGGUAGCCGGCCUGAGAGGGUGACCGGCCACAUUGGGACUGAGAUACGGCCCAGACUCCUACGGGAGGCAGCAGUGGGGAAUAUUGCACAAUGGGCGGAAGCCUGAUGCAGCAACGCCGCGUGCGGGAUGACGGCCUUCGGGUUGUAAACCGCUUUCGCCUGUGACGAAGCGUGAGUGACGGUAAUGGGUAAAGAAGCACCGGCUAACUACGUG